AAAAAAAAAUAGAGACAUUUGCCAGAACAUAUCUUCAUUUCAUUACAUCAGGAAAGCUUUCUAGAGUCUAAUUUUUUUGUAAAGUUUACAGAAAUGUAAAGGAAAGCAGACGCUCCAGAUGUUUAUGUGUCAGGAUUUUGCAGAUAGUUUGCUGUUGUUUGUGGGCCUGACCUACAGAACAAUUAAUGAAAGUGAAAAAACGUCUAACAGUGAAAAGAGUUGAUCGCACAUGAAUAAAAAAAAAAAAAAAAAAAAAAAAAAAAACUUUGUUGCUGUUAUGCUGCCUUUAAGUCUCAGAGAACCAAAGUCCUGGGCGUAUAUUCAGUUAAAACCUCAGGAGAACCAGGUUGGUCUCAUCCGGAGUCAGAAGUCAGGCGGCAAACAGCUGACGGUCGCCUCAAAGCCGGUGGGUUUUUGUAAGCGUGACUUGGCGGUGUGCUCAGGCAGCUAUCAGGCCUAUUUUGGAGAAGGAACCAGGCUGACGGUUCUUGAAUCAGGUAUAAACGUCACAGCUCCAACUAGAGUCAAGGUUCUUUCACCUUCUGAGAAGGAGUGCAGUAGCGGCAAAAAGACCCUGGUCUGUGUGGCGUCUGGUUUCUAUCCGGACCAUGUCAGCGUCUCCUGGAUGAUUAAUGAGGAAACUGUCAGCAAAGGUGUGGCGACGGACAGCGCCGCCACGAGGUACGGCACAUCCUACAGAAUCACCAGCCGGCUGACCGUUUCCUCUGAGGAGUGGACCUCAGACAUCAAGUUCGUCUGCAGUGUCAGCUUCUUCAAUGGAACAACAACCACAUAUCAUAAUGACAGCAUCACUGGUGAAGCUAAGAAAAGCCCAUCAGGAACGGAGCUGAGCAGAGACAAAUACCUGAGGAUCACUCAGAGCGCCAAGCUCUCCUACAUCAUCUUCAUCGUGAAGAGCUGCAUCUAUGGAGCCUUCAUCUGGUUUGUGGCCUGGAAGCUUCAGAGUUUGGCAGAAAAGAAGAGGAAAAGGUGAGGGACGGGCCGAAGAGGAGCGGCAUUCUGCUGUAAAUCAAGUCUGAAGAUCAGAGUUUUUCAUGUUUCUGAUAAUACAUUUUCAAUAAAAAUGAUAAAAA
This is a non-coding RNA of Oryzias latipes (Japanese medaka), 1094 nucleotides long. The record is from the annotation of a RefSeq genome assembly. Lineage: Eukaryota; Metazoa; Chordata; Actinopteri; Beloniformes; Adrianichthyidae.